AUACGUCCUACGGGAGAAAGUGGGGGCUCUUCGGACCUCACGCUAUCAGAUGAGCCUAGGUCGGAUUAGCUAGUUGGUGAGGUAAUGGCUCACCAAGGCGACGAUCCGUAACUGGUCUGAGAGGAUGAUCAGUCACACUGGAACUGAGACACGGUCCAGACUCUAUACGGGAGGCAGCAGUGGGGAAUAUUGGACAAUGGGCGAAAGCCUGAUCCAGCCAUGCCGCGUGUGUGAAGAAGGUCUUCGGAUUGUAAAGCACUUUAAGUUGGGAGGAAGGGUUGUACGUUAAUACCGUGCAAUUUUGACGUUACCGACAGAAUAAGCACCGGCUAACUCUGUGCCAGCAGCCGCGGUAAUACAGAGGGUGCAAGCGUUAAUCGGAAUUACUGGGCGUAAAGCGCGCGUAGGUGGUUUGUUAAGUUGGAUGUGAAAUCCCCGGGCUCAACCUGGGAACUGCAUCCAAAAC
This 466-nucleotide ribosomal RNA is filed under the name Pseudomonas sp. acu98. RNAcentral describes it as "bacterial SSU rRNA". It matches the Rfam family "Bacterial small subunit ribosomal RNA", at positions 173 to 633 of the family's 1533-position model. Lineage: Bacteria; Pseudomonadati; Pseudomonadota; Gammaproteobacteria; Pseudomonadales; Pseudomonadaceae. The record is from RNAcentral.